RNAcentral lists this ribosomal RNA (254 nucleotides) under uncultured bacterium. Its description in RNAcentral is "partial 16S ribosomal RNA". It matches the Rfam family "Bacterial small subunit ribosomal RNA", at positions 524 to 776 of the family's 1533-position model. The record is from RNAcentral.
UACGUAGGGAGCAAGCGUUGUCCGGAUUUAUUGGGCGUAAAGAGCUCGUAGGCGGUUAAGUAAGUCAGGUGUGAAACCUCCAGGCUCAACCUGGAGACGCCACUUGAUACUGCUUUGACUUGAGUUCGGUAGGGGUAAGCGGAAUUCCUGGUGUAGCGGUGAAAUGCGCAGAGAUCAGGAAGAACACCAGUGGCGAAGGCGCUCUGCUAGGCCGUAACUGACACUGAGGGACGAAAGCUAGGGGAGCGAAUGGG